RNAcentral lists this transfer RNA (30 nucleotides) under Calceolaria uniflora. RNAcentral's name for it is "partial tRNA-His". Lineage: Eukaryota; Viridiplantae; Streptophyta; Magnoliopsida; Lamiales; Calceolariaceae. The record is from RNAcentral.
UCCGCCCCUCUACUAUAUUCCUUUUUACUU